This is a non-coding RNA of Oryza meridionalis, 185 nucleotides long. Lineage: Eukaryota; Viridiplantae; Streptophyta; Magnoliopsida; Poales; Poaceae. The record is from Rfam.
UUUAAAUGCAAUUGUGGGUUUAUUGUCCAACGUUUGACCGUUCAUCUUAUUUGAAUUUUUUUAUGAUUAGUAUCUAUAAUUUUAUUAGAUGAUAAAACAUGAAUAGUAACUUAUUUUUUUAAAAAAAAAUUUAAAUAAGACAAAUGAUCAAAUAUUGGACAUAAAAACCCACAACUAUACUUAAA